This 406-nucleotide ribosomal RNA is filed under the name uncultured bacterium. Its description in RNAcentral is "partial 16S ribosomal RNA". It matches the Rfam family "Bacterial small subunit ribosomal RNA", at positions 29 to 526 of the family's 1533-position model. The record is from RNAcentral.
AUUGAACGCUGGCGGCAGGCCUAACACAUGCAAGUCGAACGAGUGGCGGACGGGUGAGUACUGUCUGGGAAACUGCCUGAUGGAGGGGGAUAACUACUGGAAACGGUAGCUAAUACCGCAUACCAUCGGAUGUGCCCAGAGGGGAUUAGCUAGGAGGUGGGGUAAAGGCUCACCUAGGCGACGAUCCCUAGCUGGUCUGAGAGGAUGACGAGCCACACGGGAACUGAGAAACGGUCCAGACUCCUACGGGAGGCAGCAGUGGUGAAUAUGGCACAAUGGGCGCAAGCCGGAUGCAGCCAUGCCGCGUGUAUGAAGAAGGCCUUCGGGUUGCAAAGUACUGUCAGCGGGGAGGCGUUACGCGCAGAAGAAGCACCGGCUAACUCCGUGCCAGCAGCCGCGGUAAUUC